Molecule: transfer RNA, 82 nt
Filed under: Ixodes scapularis (black-legged tick)
Lineage: Eukaryota; Metazoa; Arthropoda; Arachnida; Ixodida; Ixodidae
Rfam family: tRNA
About the family: Transfer RNA (tRNA) molecules are approximately 80 nucleotides in length. Their secondary structure includes four short double-helical elements and three loops (D, anti-codon, and T loops). Further hydrogen bonds mediate the characteristic L-shaped molecular structure. tRNAs have two regions of fundamental functional importance: the anti-codon, which is responsible for specific mRNA codon recognition, and the 3' end, to which the tRNAs corresponding amino acid is attached (by aminoacyl-tRNA synthetases). tRNAs cope with the degeneracy of the genetic code in two manners: having more than one tRNA (with a specific anti-codon) for a particular amino acid; and 'wobble' base-pairing, i.e. permitting non-standard base-pairing at the 3rd anti-codon position.
Source: Rfam by way of RNAcentral
GCAGUCGUGGCCGAGUGGUUAAGGCGAUGGACAAGAAAUCCAUUGGGGUCUCCCCGCACAGGUCCGAAUCCUAUCGACUGCG